Molecule: transfer RNA, 74 nt
Filed under: Lasius niger
Lineage: Eukaryota; Metazoa; Arthropoda; Insecta; Hymenoptera; Formicidae
Rfam family: tRNA
About the family: Transfer RNA (tRNA) molecules are approximately 80 nucleotides in length. Their secondary structure includes four short double-helical elements and three loops (D, anti-codon, and T loops).
Source: Rfam by way of RNAcentral
GCUGGCGUGGCUCAAUUUGGCAGAGCACUUGAUUUGUAAUCAAGGGGUUGCAGGUUCAAUUCCUGUCGCCAGCA